This 73-nucleotide transfer RNA is filed under the name Cordylochernes scorpioides. Its description in RNAcentral is "tRNA-Ser". The record is from RNAcentral. Lineage: Eukaryota; Metazoa; Arthropoda; Arachnida; Pseudoscorpiones; Chernetidae.
UCCAGGGUAGCCUAGUGGACAUGACAUCCGCCCGGAAAUAGGAACACUGUGGGUUCGAUUUCCAUCCCUGGAC